Pelodiscus sinensis (Chinese soft-shelled turtle) is the source of this 1002-nucleotide non-coding RNA. The record is from RefSeq and is a predicted model, not a curated record. NCBI's taxonomy places the organism in Eukaryota, Metazoa, Chordata, Testudines, Trionychidae.
UCAUGGCUUUUUCAAAUGAACCAAGACCAGAGGCUUUCUCCUCCUCCCCCUCCCCAGGCACACCUGUUCUGGGUUUUGUUUCCCCCUGUCUCUCUCAUGUAAGAAGUUGUUAAUUCCCAGGAUGAACUGAUCCUACUGGCACACUGAGGAAGGCAGGUCCAGCCUGCACAUGGACACAGUCACUGCAGAUAUUGCCUUUGCUUGAAACAAUAUCUGAGCCUGGAAUGAGGCAUCGGUCCCAUCACAACACCUGGCCUGGGUGAGGCCUGGGAGAAUCUAUGGACAGGCGUCGGUGCUUUCAACAGGAAGGUGGCUCAGUCUCAUCCUCUUUGGGGCAGCCUUGCCCUGCCCAGAAACACGGCUACGGCCCUCAUUCAGAAUGCUGCUCUGCAGGGACAUCAGUGUAACGGCACAGAGGCAGCCCCGUGUCGCAGUGUCUGACGCCAAAGGAACCAUUCCGAACCGGCAAUGCUCAUCCUCAGCUUGGGAUUUCGUGCUGUUGCCUCCCGCAGUGUGUCAGAGACCGGAUGUUCACAUAAGAACGGCCGUAGCAGGUCAGAGCAAAGGUCCAUCUAGCCCAGUGUCCUGGCUGCCGACAGUGGCCAAUACCAGGUGCCCCAGAGGGAGUGAACCGAACAGAUGCUGGGGGGAAGCCCUGAGACCAGAUCCAGAGUCCGUCCUUCCAUUGGCUUCGAUGGCCUUUGCCUCGCCCAGCUCCAGAGGGGUGCUCUGCAGAAGCCACCAGGCCUAGAGAGACAGAGCAGAACUCUCUGGACUCAGACCAACCGCGUCAUGAAGCACAAGAGAGUGAGGGUGGAGUCAAGUGCCAGCGAGCGGCGGGAGUGACAGAGUGGAGGACGGCCGCCCACCGGACAGGGCUCCUCAGGGAAUCGGCCUGGGAGAUGUGCGCAAGGUACAAUCCAGCACUUACACGUGCUGAAAGCCAAGGCUGCAGCCCCUGGAGUCCCAGCACCGGCGCCGCAGGAUUCCUCAGUCUGGAUG